Molecule: ribosomal RNA, 1427 nt
Filed under: Enterococcus faecium
Lineage: Bacteria; Bacillati; Bacillota; Bacilli; Lactobacillales; Enterococcaceae
Description: bacterial SSU rRNA
Rfam family: Bacterial small subunit ribosomal RNA
Source: RNAcentral
UGCAAGUCGAACGCUUCUUUUUCCACCGGAGCUUGCUCCACCGGAAAAAGAGGAGUGGCGAACGGGUGAGUAACACGUGGGUAACCUGCCCAUCAGAAGGGGAUAACACUUGGAAACAGGUGCUAAUACCGUAUAACAAUCGAAACCGCAUGGUUUUGAUUUGAAAGGCGCUUUCGGGUGUCGCUGAUGGAUGGACCCGCGGUGCAUUAGCUAGUUGGUGAGGUAACGGCUCACCAAGGCCACGAUGCAUAGCCGACCUGAGAGGGUGAUCGGCCACAUUGGGACUGAGACACGGCCCAAACUCCUACGGGAGGCAGCAGUAGGGAAUCUUCGGCAAUGGACGAAAGUCUGACCGAGCAACGCCGCGUGAGUGAAGAAGGUUUUCGGAUCGUAAAACUCUGUUGUUAGAGAAGAACAAGGAUGAGAGUAACUGUUCAUCCCUUGACGGUAUCUAACCAGAAAGCCACGGCUAACUACGUGCCAGCAGCCGCGGUAAUACGUAGGUGGCAAGCGUUGUCCGGAUUUAUUGGGCGUAAAGCGAGCGCAGGCGGUUUCUUAAGUCUGAUGUGAAAGCCCCCGGCUCAACCGGGGAGGGUCAUUGGAAACUGGGAGACUUGAGUGCAGACGAGGAGAGUGGAAUUCCAUGUGUAGCGGUGAAAUGCGUAGAUAUAUGGAGGAACACCAGUGGCGAAGGCGGCUCUCUGGUCUGUAACUGACGCUGAGGCUCGAAAGCGUGGGGAGCAAACAGGAUUAGAUACCCUGGUAGUCCACGCCGUAAACGAUGAGUGCUAAGUGUUGGAGGGUUUCCGCCCUUCAGUGCUGCAGCUAACGCAUUAAGCACUCCGCCUGGGGAGUACGACCGCAAGGUUGAAACUCAAAGGAAUUGACGGGGGCCCGCACAAGCGGUGGAGCAUGUGGUUUAAUUCGAAGCAACGCGAAGAACCUUACCAGGUCUUGACAUCCUUUGACCACUCUAGAGAUAGAGCUUCCCCUUCGGGGGCAAAGUGACAGGUGGUGCAUGGUUGUCGUCAGCUCGUGUCGUGAGAUGUUGGGUUAAGUCCCGCAACGAGCGCAACCCUUAUUGUUAGUUGCCAUCAUUCAGUUGGGCACUCUAGCAAGACUGCCGGUGACAAACCGGAGGAAGGUGGGGAUGACGUCAAAUCAUCAUGCCCCUUAUGACCUGGGCUACACACGUGCUACAAUGGGAAGUACAACGAGUGGCUAAGUCGCGAGGCUAAGCUAAUCUCUUAAAGCUUCUCUCAGUUCGGAUUGUAGGCUGCAACUCGCCUACAUGAAGCCGGAAUCGCUAGUAAUCGCGGAUCAGCACGCCGCGGUGAAUACGUUCCCGGGCCUUGUACACACCGCCCGUCACACCACGAGAGUUUGUAACACCCGAAGUCGGUGAGGUAACCUUUUGGAGCCAGCCG